UUUGUUUUGUGGUAAAAGGGGAGUAGAAUUGUUUGCACCAGUAUUGGUCCUGAAGCAGUAUUUCUGGUAUCCGGCCUUGAAGCAGCAUUUCUGGUAUCCGGCUGGCUCUGAGGCGUCAUAUCUGAUAUCCGUCUCUGAAAAAAAAGAUAAAUAUUUUACGGGCUACGACGUAGUGUUUCUGGUAUCCGUCCCUAAAACAAUAUUUUUGAUAUCCGGCUCUGUGGUGCGAAAUUGGUGUAUCAAUAGUUGCCCCUCUUUGAGAAAAAACCGCUUGUGGUUUAUGAACAAAGCCAAGAGCCCGAUUUCGCACCAAUACUCUUGUUUGUCUCUCAAAAUGAUUUGACAAAUUGAUAAAGGGGUUCCGGCGUUGGCCAGGUUUCGUCCUGGUUGAGCUUUGUCGGUACCGUCUUAAACCAGGAGGUUUUGAAUCACGUGCUGUUGAUCUUCGUGUAUCCCCAUUUUGAGUUGUAUCUUCUCUCUUUCAAUGUUUUUUUAUUUUUAUUUUCAAAUUCUAUAGAGGUGUGUUUAUCUUACAAGCUUGUUGUUGAAGCUAUAAAUUCCUUUACAAUAUAGAGAAAGGAAAUUCUACCUCAUGUAAACAACCCUCCUUUUCUUUUUAUCAUUAUUUCUUCAGCAUGUCAUACCAACGUCCGAGAACCGUUCUAUCGAGAAUUCCACCUCUUCCAACUGUGGGUGAAAUGAGAAACGUGGGGCCUCUAACUGAUGUUGAGCAUCACAUUUCGUCAAAGAUCCGCGAUGACCCGGACUGCCAUUGGGUGUACUUCUGUGCUUCAAAUACUGGAGUGGCUGAAUGGUGGACAAUACUGAGAAGAUGCAGAGGUGUCCGUGAGAUUGUAAAAGGGACCGGCUGGUUUGACUUUAUCGAUGCUUUGAAACCAUUCCAUGACCGGGAGAAUGUAGCUGGUUAUUGUGGCCGAACGAUGGUGGAACGAUACCAACUCCUUUCAUCUUCCACACUGCGAGCUUACCAUCACUCCUUUGGAUUUUUAUAUGAUUACCGGACUAAGCGUGGGAAUAGGAGUCCCAGUGCCUUGGGAACUCGGGAUGACAGAGGAGAGGAUACGAUUGAUGUGAGGGCCGUGGUGCGGGAUGUAUUCUCUCAUAAGGAGAGGAUACUUUUCUUUCUUCGGCUAGUGGUCAACUCAAAUCGGGUUACCUGGCUGCCUUUGUUGAUCUGGAUUUGGUGGGAUUUUAUGAUUGGGGAAGUUGUGCGAUGGCACACCUUUGCAACUAUCUUUCUCGAGUAACUCGGUCCCGAACAAAAACUUUAUGCGGGUUUUGGCCUGUCCUGCAGAUCUGGUGUUAUGAAUAUAUCCAUGCUAGCCGCCCAGUCUUCAAUGAUGGUUAUUUCGAUUACCAAACAUUUCCUCGAAUGGACAGACGGAAUAAUACACAACGACAAAAUUCAUCAGCAUAUAUGCGCCUUUGUUUGGAUGAGACUACGAUUGAUUCCGUAAUAUACUGAUUUCCCUUUUUCUUUUUUUGAUUAUAUUCCUUUGUCUCAGAUUUGCUGGGACCCUUGCAGUAACUACCCGAUCGGUCAGGAUCAAAAAGCAAGUUAUGCCGCUGCGUGUAACCCACUAUGUUACCUGUUAAGAGGUCCGAAUUACUGUGCCUUGUAUCUUGGUGAUAGAUUUGGGCGAAAAAUCGGUCAGCCGGACGCUACGCCCCGCUUUCAUCCCCCUAAGAAGACAUGCUUCGAUAAUGCGUCAUUUUACGAGAUGGAUGGUAUGUCACGUGAACCGCAACUCUCUUAUGAAGACUCCGUUGAUCGCGGGUUGGAUUUUGACACGUAUUGGAGAACUGUUUCUCUUGGUCCACUUCAUCGCACUCGGGACAGUACCAAAAAUCGCGUGCUGGGUGGUCCUGAUUGUGCUUCUCGACCAUUAUCGAUGGGUCUUCUAGUACUUCUACUCAGCAUGCUUCACCACUUGAUUCUGGUCACUUGAUUCCUCCAUGGGGUUUCAAAGUAUCUAUCUUUGGCACUUCAAAUGUUAUUUCUUUUCAAGCCCAUUUGACAUUCAAGACGUCGUUGGCCUACCCCUUCCGGACGAUAUCCCUGAGGCUUACAAGGCUUUUAUCGAGUAUUUUCUUCAUUUAGUGGACAGCCGCGAAAGUCGAUUGAAGUCUGUAGUGAAUGAAAUGUCGGUAUCAUGAUGAAGUAUGAUAACAUCAGCAUGGAAUCCUUGAGGCAGCAAACACGCAUCGACUUUCUUUCUGAAGAAUUGUCUAUGCUUCAGAUGCGCUAUGAAGUAUGCCACCAUUUACAUUUUGUUGGAAAACAAUUAAUAAAAAAAUAAUUUUUUAAAGUUUUAAUAAAAAAUUAUA
Papaver somniferum (opium poppy) is the source of this 2349-nucleotide long non-coding RNA. RefSeq lists it as uncharacterized. NCBI's taxonomy places the organism in Eukaryota, Viridiplantae, Streptophyta, Magnoliopsida, Ranunculales, Papaveraceae. The record is from RefSeq and is a predicted model, not a curated record. The transcript is spliced from 4 exons.